RNAcentral lists this ribosomal RNA (301 nucleotides) under uncultured bacterium. Its description in RNAcentral is "partial 16S ribosomal RNA". It matches the Rfam family "Bacterial small subunit ribosomal RNA", at positions 509 to 807 of the family's 1533-position model. The record is from RNAcentral.
CAGUAGCCACGGGAAUACGUAGGUGGCAAGCGUUGUCCGGAAUUACUGGGCGUAAAGCGUGCGUAGGCGGUUCGUUAGGUCUGUUGUGAAAGCCCCGGGCUCAACCUGGGAACGGCAAUGGAUACUGGCGAGCUAGAGUGUGUCAGAGGAUGGUGGAAUUCCCGGUGUAGCGGUGAAAUGCGUAGAGAUCGGGAGGAACAUCAGUGGCGAAGGCGGCCAUCUGGGACAACACUGACGCUGAGGCACGAAAGCGUGGGGAGCAAACAGGAUUAGAUACCCCCGUAGUCCCUGUCUCUUAUAC